AUUGAACGCUGGCGGCAGGCCUAACACAUGCAAGUCGGACGGUAGCACAGAGGAGCUUGCUCCUCGGGUGACGAGUGGCGGACGGGUGAGUAAUGUCUGGGGAUCUGCCCGAUAGAGGGGGAUAACCACUGGAAACGGUGGCUAAUACCGCAUAACGUCGCAAGACCAAAGAGGGGGACCUUCGGGCCUCUCACUAUCGGAUGAACCCAGAUGGGAUUAGCUAGUAGGCGGGGUAAUGGCCCACCUAGGCGACGAUCCCUAACUGGUCUGAGAGGAUGACCAGCCACACUGGAACUGAGACACGGUCCAGACUCCUACGGGAGGCAGCAGUGGGGAAUAUUGCACAAUGGGCGCAAGCCUGAUGCAGCCAUGCCGCGUGUAUGAAGAAGGCCUUCGGGUUGUAAAGUACUUUCAGCGGGGAGGAAAGCGAUAAGGUUAAUAACCUUGUCGAUUGACGUUACCCGCAGAAGAAGCACCGGCUAACUCCGUGCCAGCCGCCGCGGUAA
This 506-nucleotide ribosomal RNA is filed under the name uncultured bacterium. Its description in RNAcentral is "partial 16S ribosomal RNA". It matches the Rfam family "Bacterial small subunit ribosomal RNA", at positions 30 to 523 of the family's 1533-position model. The record is from RNAcentral.